UAGGGAAUCUUCCGCAAUGGACGCAAGUCUGACGGAGCAACGCCGCGUGAGUGAAGAAGGAUUUCGGUUCGUAAAACUCUGUUGUUAGAGAAGAACAGCGCAUAGAGUAACUGUUAUGCGUGUGACGGUAUCUAACCAGAAAGCCACGACUAACUACGUGCCAGCAGCCGCGGUAAUACGUAGGUGGCAAGCGUUGUCCGGAUUUAUUGGGCGUAAAGCGAGCGCAGGCGGUCAAUUAAGUCUGAUGUGAAAGCCCCCGGCUCAACCGGGGAGGGUCAUUGGAAACUGGUUGACUUGAGUGCAGAAGAGGAGAGUGGAAUUCCAUGUGUAGCGGUGAAAUGCGUAGAUAUAUGGAGGAACACCAGUGGCGAAGGCGACUCUCUGGUCUGUAACUGACGCUGAGGCUCGAAAGCGUGGGUAGCAAACAGG
Molecule: ribosomal RNA, 429 nt
Filed under: Bacteroidota bacterium
Lineage: Bacteria; Pseudomonadati; Bacteroidota
Description: Bacteroidetes bacterium partial 16S ribosomal RNA
Rfam family: Bacterial small subunit ribosomal RNA
Source: RNAcentral